UACGUAGGGAGCGAGCGUUGUCCGGAUUUACUGGGCGUAAAGGGCGCGUAGGUGGUCCAUUAAGUUAUAGGUGAAAGUUCGGGGCUCAACCCCGUGAUUGCCUGUGAUACUGGUGGACUUGAGUGCAGGAGAGGGGAGCGGAAUUCCCAGUGUAGCGGUGAAAUGCGUAGAUAUUGGGAGGAACACCAGUGGCGAAGGCGGCUCUCUGGACUGUAACUGACACUGAGGCGCGAAAGCGUGGGGAGCGAACAGG
RNAcentral lists this ribosomal RNA (253 nucleotides) under uncultured bacterium. RNAcentral's name for it is "partial 16S ribosomal RNA". It matches the Rfam family "Bacterial small subunit ribosomal RNA", at positions 524 to 776 of the family's 1533-position model. The record is from RNAcentral.